RNAcentral lists this ribozyme (187 nucleotides) under Anopheles sinensis. Its description in RNAcentral is "drz-agam-2-2 ribozyme". It matches the Rfam family "drz-agam-2-2 ribozyme". The record is from Rfam by way of RNAcentral. Lineage: Eukaryota; Metazoa; Arthropoda; Insecta; Diptera; Culicidae.
UCAAUUCAUGCUGCUCUGUAACGGGCUGGAUCCGACGCCUUCUUGAAGGCUACUAUAUGCUCUCCUCCCCAACUCCUACACAAUACGUCCGCGACGAAUGGUAACUUGUCGCCUAAAUAUCCAAGCCUGGGUACACGGGGAAACCCACCCCUUUGGGCGGAUGGGCGGCAAGGCUAAAUAUAGAGGG